UACCUACGGGUGGCUGCAGUGGGGAAUAUUGGACAAUGGGCGAAAGCCUGAUCCAGCAAUGCCGCGUGGGUGAUGAAGGCCUUAGGGUUGUAAAGCUCUUUUACCCGGGAAGAUAAUGACUGUACCGGGAGAAUAAGCCCCGGCUAACUCCGUGCCAGCAGCCGCGGUAAUACGGAGGGGGCUAGCGUUGUUCGGAAUUACUGGGCGUAAAGCGCACGUAGGCGGCUUUGUAAGUUAGAGGUGAAAGCCUGGGGCUCAACUCCAGAAUUGCGUUUAAGACUGCAUCGCUUGAACGUCGGAGAGGUGAGUGGAAUUCCGAGUGUAGAGGUGAAAUUCGUAGAUAUUCGGAAGAACACCAGUGGCGAAGGCGGCUCACUGGACGACUGUUGACGCUGAGGUGCGAAAGCGUGGGGAGCAAACAGGAUUAGAUACCCGAGUAGUC
This 442-nucleotide ribosomal RNA is filed under the name uncultured bacterium. Its description in RNAcentral is "bacterial SSU rRNA". It matches the Rfam family "Bacterial small subunit ribosomal RNA", at positions 335 to 795 of the family's 1533-position model. The record is from RNAcentral.